CCUACGGGAGGCAGCAGUGAGGAAUAUUGGUCAAUGGGCGAGAGCCUGAACCAGCCAAGUCGCGUGAGGGAGUACUGCCCUAUGGGUUGUAAACCUCUUUUGUCGGGGAGCAAAAGCCGGACGUGUCCGGCUGUGAGAGUACCCGAAGAAAAAGCAUCGGCUAACUCCGUGCCAGCAGCCGCGGUAAUACGGAGGAUGCGAGCGUUAUCCGGAUUUAUUGGGGUUAAAGGGUGCGAAGGCGGAUUUUUAAGUCAGCGGUCAAAUCGUGGGGCUCAACCCCAUCCAGCCGUUGAAACUGGGGAUCUAGAGUGUGCGAGAGGUAUGCGGAAUGCGUGGUGUAGCGGUGAAAUGCAUAGAUAUCACGCAGAACCCCGAUUGCGAAGGCAGCAUACCGGUGCACAACUGACGCUCAGGCACGAAAGCGUGGGUAUCGAACAGGAUUAGAUACCCCAGUAGUC
Molecule: ribosomal RNA, 458 nt
Filed under: uncultured bacterium
Lineage: Bacteria
Description: partial 16S ribosomal RNA
Rfam family: Bacterial small subunit ribosomal RNA
Source: RNAcentral